UGAGCAAUCUGCCCUUGACUCUGGGAUAAGCGUUGGAAACGACGUCUAAUACCGGAUACGAGCUGUGAAGGCAUCUUCAACAGCUGGAAAGAACUUCGGUCAAGGAUGAGCUCGCGGCCUAUCAGCUAGUUGGUGUGGGUAACGGCCCACCAAGGCGACGACGGGUAGCCGGCCUGAGAGGGUGACCGGCCACACUGGGACUGAGACACGGCCCAGACUCCUACGGGAGCAG
Molecule: ribosomal RNA, 232 nt
Filed under: uncultured bacterium
Lineage: Bacteria
Description: partial 16S ribosomal RNA
Rfam family: Bacterial small subunit ribosomal RNA
Source: RNAcentral